This 253-nucleotide ribosomal RNA is filed under the name uncultured bacterium. Its description in RNAcentral is "partial 16S ribosomal RNA". It matches the Rfam family "Bacterial small subunit ribosomal RNA", at positions 524 to 776 of the family's 1533-position model. The record is from RNAcentral.
UACGGAGGGGGCAAGCGUUGUUCGGAAUUACUGGGCGUAAAGGGCGCGUAGGCGGGCAACCAAGUCCGGGGUGAAAUCCUCCAGCUCAACUGGAGAAGUGCCUCGGAUACUGGCUGCCUCGAGGAGGGUAGGGGCAUCUGGAACUAGCGGUGGAGCGGUGAAAUGCGUUGAUAUCGCUAGGAACUCCGGUGGCGAAGGCGAGGUGCUGGACCCUUUCUGACGCUGAGGCGCGAAAGCCAGGGGAGCGAACGGG